GCCUGAGCCUGCAAAGUUCGCGCCGGCUCCCAAGAAGGGCUCCAAGAAAGCCGUCACCAAAGCCCAGAAGAAAGACGGCAAGAAGCGCAAGCGCAGCCGCAAGGAGAGCUACUCCAUCUACGUGUACAAGGUGCUGAAGCGGGUCCACCCCGACACCGGCAUCUGGUGCAAGGCCAUGGGCAUCAUGAACUCCUUCCUCAACGACAUCUUCGAGCGCAUCGCGGGAGAGGCGUCCCGCCUGGCGCACUACAACAAGCGCUCCACCAUCACGUCCCGGAGAUCCAGACGGCCGUGCGCCUGCUGCUGCCCGGCGAGCUGGCCAAGCACGCCGUGUCCGAGGGCACCAAGGCGGUCACCAAGUACGCCAGCUCCAAGUGAGUCCCUGCCGGGACCUGGCGCUCGCUCGCUCCCUCCCUCCCUCCCUCCGCGGGUCGCCGGCUGCUUUGUCUCCAAAGGCUCUUUUCAGGGCCACUUAACCCCGUUAGUGAAAUAA
RNAcentral lists this long non-coding RNA (493 nucleotides) under Homo sapiens (human). RNAcentral describes it as "non-protein coding lnc-HIST2H4A-1:1". Lineage: Eukaryota; Metazoa; Chordata; Mammalia; Primates; Hominidae. The record is from RNAcentral.